ACGUUUGUAAUUGAAAUUUCCAGGCGUGUGAAAAGUUUUGUGGGAGCGGCGGAUAUUAACCGAUUUUUCUAUGUCAGCUGUAGCAUGAGCAGCCUCCGUCGCACUUGAACCCCUAAUGCGCCACGUGACCUUUUGCUUUGUUUAAGAUUUCUGGUUUGGGCGACUUGAAUGGUGCUAGCUUAGUGCGUCUUCGAAGCUUCAAUGUUUGCUCCUUACAACCUGCAGCUGCUAAUUGACUUCAUUGCUCGGGUUAAGUAAGCGGCGAGCUGAGUUAGGAAUGCACUUCCUAAUGAAGCUCGUGUCAUGCGAGCGCGGCACCUUUCUUUGCUUGCACACAGCUGUUGUAGUGGAAGGGGCACUAAAGUGGCAUGGUAUAUUAAGUUGCAUUGCGAAAUUGCGCCUACUCGUACCGUGUGAGGCUUGGCAAACUAGACGCAAGAAUACGUUUCUACGGUACAAAAUCGCAUGCUGGGGAAGAAAAAAGUAAGCUUGCGGAUAGAGGCAUCGGAGGACUACGGCCCUCGUCUAGAGGCGUCAGAGGACUACGGCCCUCGAUGUUUGGAAUCAGUGUUCACCUUUAAUUUCGUGCACAAGUUCCCGCACCAGCUCGCUGUAACGUCAAGGAUUUUGAGUGUCUGCUCGGCUAUAGUUUAUCGGUAAAGGACUGCGCUUCAUUUUAAAGGAGCCAGACAGCCUAGCGAGUUUCGAGAACUCGUUGGUGCUGCUGCUUGCACUAUUAGCUCCCAUUUUUUUUGCAUUAAUUUUAAUUUGUGCCUCGUUUCUAUGUGCACGGCAAUCGUAGGAUGUUGCAAGCAUGGAUGGGAAGGCAACGUAGUAGCGGUAGUAUGUUCUGUUCGCACUGGCACUGCUUAUUACGGGAUUGCUAGCGUUCACCGCUUUCGUUCCUUUCACACCGAACGAAUCGGCAUCUUUGCUAGCCUCGCUCACCUAAAGUAGGCAAAAAAAAGUUGCGAUCCAGAGGAUAACCUCGAGUCUAGCGUGUACGCUGGCUCCUCGCCGCUGACAGCUCUUCGGUGGCAUGAUGCCACCGCCUUGAAAAUGUACAGUGGAGGUCUCUAAUGCAAAAAUCGACAGUGGCGGCGCCCUUCCGGUUGCAUCGCCAUGUAAUGUUCCGCGUGUUCAAAUUGCCUGCUUCAGGAGUUGCCGAUUGCUUCAACAGCUUCGAGAGUAGCAGAGCUUGUCGGAUUACCAGCGAGCAAGUGAUGACAGUGAUAGUCUAUUUUCAACCAAAGCGACAAUCAUGGCCUAGUUAAUAUGAAAAGCGAGAACAAGAAUCUAGCGCUAUCGCCUAAAAUUGUAGAACAAGAGCGGCUGCGUGGCCUGAUACUACAGCGGUGUGGUGGACACCACCGCUUUAUGCACGGGCAUUGCUGUAACCAGUUGGCGGUGAUUGGCCGUGUGCGCGGUGUACUCGUCAGUUCAUUAAUACAUGCCGCUGCAAGCAAUGCGCGGGCACUCGUAACCGUGCAGGAAAUGACCUCAGCUUGCACGCGCAUGUUUCUCGGCGACGUGGCCAUUUUUCCGUUUUCGGGAACUUCUGACUUAAUGCCCAUUAGAUCACCGCGGGGAAACGAGUCCGGCUAACAGCGCAACUCGACAUCGUUUGCGUGAACUCGGCGUACGAGAUAGAGGAGACCUGCGUGAAAACGACGCAGUCUGGUUGCUGGUUGCUGGCAGUGUCAGCCGCCGGCCCAACGCGGCCGCUUUUACGUGUAUUUGUUGAUCCAACCCAGUUUCCGGCCUACUUUAAGCGCCAACUACACCACGGAGUGCAUCCGGUUGAAAUGCAUGCAUUGCCGUGUUCCUACUCCACCUGGCCGCUAACGCAGGUUACAAUGGAGACCGAGAAUGUAAUAACCAUGACAUUUCUAGCAAAACAGUAUAGGCGCUCAUUAGGUCAGCAGUGGCGCGUGCUCUUAUUCAUCACACUUGGUUUUCUUGCUUGCUGCGAACACAAAUCAAGUGCGACGAAAGAGACGCUAAAAGGUAAAAAAUGUAUUGGGAGUAGCGGGCAUAAGAUUACCCCUCAACCAGGAUGGUAUAGGAGGAGGGGUAUACGGGUAGGAACGCUUUCCUUAAUGAACGGGUGCCGCGGGUCAGAUGAAAAGAGCACCUGUCAAGUCCUACGCCAACGCUUUCAUUCAGCAAAAUUAAAGCUCGUCACAUACAUUUUUACCUGUUAAAUUGUUGAUUUGCAAAAAAGUACGCUUUUGUAAGUUAUGCACAAUGUGCACGUUAAAGGAACCCCAGUUUAACGUUAGCGUAAUAGCGGGGUCAAGGGAAAUAGCGUACGCAAACGAACUUUGCAGAAAGAGUUUUAGUAUAGUGUGGUAGCGUAGUUUACGUGCAGGUCGCUAUUCCAUUACGCUUUAAAUUUCGCAUACAUAGGGCACCUAAGUAAUUCUGUCUGCGUCCGGAAAGUGCGAUAGGCAGCGCAAUGGAAGCCAGGAGCGCGUUGUAUUUUUACUUCCAUGUCCGCCGAUCUGCCGCGAAACAGACAAGCUUUCUACCGUAGCCUCCGAAGUCUUCCCAUCUCAGAGGCCAUAUGCCAUCGUCGCGCCUAUCUUCCAUGUUCCCUUGCGUAAGGGAACAUGGCUUAACGAGGUGCCGCCCUUUUCAUAAGUUUGCAUCCAGCACUGUUCAACCCAUUCAUUCUUAACUGAUAGUUGAAUUUAUUGUAAAUAUUUCGGUGCUGUCUAUAGGUUUAACGUGAGAGGCUGUGCCAGUCUACUCAGCUCCAUGAGGGUAGCUAUAUGGUCCUGUUGAUACACCAUCUCGAAUAGUAUGGUAUUCCAGACAGCGGAAUUGACAUACGCGCCAUGUUUUAAACAUAACGAAGUUUUUUUUUUUUUGACAAACCAGACAAGUUAAAGUUAGUGUUACACUGAAUGAGCUGGGUUAUGAAAUGCGAUAAUUGUGUGAAAUUUGAGCAAGAACAGAGCAGCGGUAAGCGCCAAAAGAACUUUUUAGUAAGAUAUUGAAGCUAAAUGCAGGAAUCCUUUAAAACAGGUUGUCGUUCCGACAACUGUCGUCUGUCUUAAAGCUCGCGCCACUUUGUCGGUAGAUGCAAAGCGCUUUUACUGUGUAUGAAUGCAGAUUCACACACAAUUUUGUAAUUGUUGCAUUAUAUACAAGAGGUAAUGCAACAGAAUGCCUAUUGAUAUAUAAAAAACAAACCUGAUACGUUUACUAUAAACGAGAAAAAUAUUGCAGACGAUAUAUACAUAAACGAUGAGCGAACCUGUUCACGAGUUAAGCCUUAGAUACAUGUAGCGUUCCCGAUAAUAUAUAGGUUCAUGUCCGAGAUUAUACUGUAUGGUAUACUGCUGUAUGCAAUUGUUCCUAGUCUGAGCAAGGUACGGGAAAUUUGGUCAAGAUUCUACGUGAAUAAUGUAACGUAUUUAAUAUCGAGGAGUAAGACUCGCAAAAGGCAUCCCAGUGCUUUAAAAUGCGCCUUUGUAACGUAGAACGGCCACGGUACUGUUUCUGCCGCAUAACGGCGGUGAAGAUGUAUGCGCAAUUCGCUUCUAAACUUGUGGGCAGCUGUAAGUUGCCUCAGAACAUGGCUCGUAAAGGCUCAUUCAUACUAGGCCGACACGACACCGAAUUUGGUCUGCCGACUGUUAGCGGCGACAGCUUUCCUUCCUAUUAAACCGUUGGCCACAGCGUUUUCCGUCCUGUAAACUGCUGUCGCCAACAGUCGGCAGAAUAAAAUCGGUGUCGUGUCGGCCUAGUGUGAAUGAGCCUUAAGUGUUCGAAUGUGUGGUCAUCGUUUCGUCCUUGAACUUCACUGGUUUCUAGUUAUAAAACGAGAAGGGAACUUCGCUAAGGCGAAAAGUUAACCCUAAAGAUUGCGCAGGGUUAGUACAACUGCAUCUGUGCUACAUUUGCGACUUGCUGCCAAAACCGUAAAGAUGCCACGUAUUGCGCCCGUGCUGCUCCAAAACACUGAACACCACCAACAAGUGUCUGUGAUAAGGCCAGAUUUAGAGCGAAGUUGCAGCUUGGUAAAUAGCCUUGGUAGGGUGUUGAACCGAAAACCGCACAGGAACCGCAGUUUUGGACUGAACUCGGAACCGCAAUUUUCGGAACGGGCCUGAACAGCAAAAAAUAACGGUUCCUGGGUUGGUACGAAACAGUUCAAGCCAUAUAAGGCGACAACGGGUGCUCGAUUUUGCACGAUUCUUCAAUAGCUACUUCAAUCGGCACACCCUACUAGCAGGUGGGACAGACGAUGGGUAUUGGCUAGCCACCACAGACAGCAGAGACGCUUGCACUUCUGAAGUCAGCCAUGCCAUUGUGUUCCACGGCCGAAGGAUUGCUUCAGGGGCUCCGCGGAAUCGUUUUUGGUGACGCUCCCAAUUUGGCCGUUAAGGUCAACU
Long non-coding RNA from Dermacentor silvarum, 4403 nucleotides. RefSeq lists it as uncharacterized. The transcript has 2 exons. The record is from RefSeq and is a predicted model, not a curated record. NCBI's taxonomy places the organism in Eukaryota, Metazoa, Arthropoda, Arachnida, Ixodida, Ixodidae.